UGAGGAAUAUUGGUCAAUGGGCGAGAGCCUGAACCAGCCAAGUAGCGUGCAGGAUGACGGCCCUCCGGGUUGUAAACUGCUUUUAGUUGGGAAUAAAAAAAGGGACUUGUCCCUUCUUGUAUGUACCUUCAGAAAAAGGACCGGCUAAUUCCGUGCCAGCAGCCGCGGUAAUACGGAAGGUCCAGGCGUUAUCCGGAUUUAUUGGGUUUAAAGGGAGCGUAGGCGGAUUGUUAAGUCAGCGGUUAAAGGGUGUGGCUCAACCAUGCAUUGCCGUUGAAACUGGCGAUCUUGAGUGCAGACAGGGAUGCCGGAAUUCGUGGUGUAGCGGUGAAAUGCUUAGAUAUCACGAAGAACUCCGAUCGCGAAGGCAGGUGUCCGGGCUGCAACUGACGCUGAGGCUCGAAAGUGUGGGUAUCAAACAGGAUUAGAUACCCUGGUAGUCCACACAGUAAACGAUGUAUACUCGCGGUUUGCGAUAGACAGUAAGCCGCCAAGCGAAAGCAUUAAGUAUACCACCUGGGGAGUACGCCGGCAACGGUG
This 540-nucleotide ribosomal RNA is filed under the name uncultured bacterium. RNAcentral's name for it is "bacterial SSU rRNA". It matches the Rfam family "Bacterial small subunit ribosomal RNA", at positions 355 to 896 of the family's 1533-position model. The record is from RNAcentral.